UGGGGAAUAUUGCACAAUGGGCGCAAGCCUGAUGCAGCGACGCCGCGUGAGGGAUGAAGGCCUUCGGGUUGUAAACCUCUUUCGUCAGGGAACAAGGCACUGUCUUUUUGGUGGUGUUGAGGGUACCUGGAUAAGAAGCGCCGGCUAACUACGUGCCAGCAGCCGCGGUAAUACGUAGGGCGCAAGCGUUGUCCGGAAUUAUUGGGCGUAAAGAGCUCGUAGGCGGCUGGUCGCGUCUGUCGUGAAAACUUCCGGCUCAACCGGGGGCUUGCGGUGGGUACGGGCCGGCUAGAGUGCGGUAGGGGUAACUGGAACUCCUGGUGUAGCGGUGGAAUGCGCAGAUAUCAGGAAGAACACCGAUGGCGAAGGCAGGUUACUGGGCCGUUACUGACGCUGAGGAGCGAAAGCGUGGGGAGCGAACAGGAUUAGAUACCCUGGUAGUCCACGCCGUAAACGUUGGGCACUAGGUGUGAGGCUCCUUUCCGGGGGUUUUGCGCCGUAGCUAACGCAUUAAGUGCCCCGCCUGGGGGAGUACGGCCGCAAGGCUA
RNAcentral lists this ribosomal RNA (548 nucleotides) under uncultured bacterium. RNAcentral describes it as "bacterial SSU rRNA". It matches the Rfam family "Bacterial small subunit ribosomal RNA", at positions 355 to 896 of the family's 1533-position model. The record is from RNAcentral.